This 403-nucleotide ribosomal RNA is filed under the name uncultured bacterium. RNAcentral describes it as "bacterial SSU rRNA". It matches the Rfam family "Bacterial small subunit ribosomal RNA", at positions 28 to 433 of the family's 1533-position model. The record is from RNAcentral.
GACGAACGCUGGCGGCGUGCUUAACACAUGCAAGUCGAGCGGUAAGGCCCUUUCGGGGGUACGACGAGCGGCGAACGGGUGAGUAACACGUGGGUGACCUGCCCUCAGCUCUGGGAUAAGCCUGGGAAACCGGGUCUAAUACUGGAUAUGACUCCAUGACGCAUGUUGUGGGGUGGAAAGCCUUGUGCGGCUGAGGAUGGGCCCGCGGCCUAUCAGCUUGUUGGUGGGGUGAUGGCCUACCAAGGCGACGACGGGUAGCCGGCCUGAGAGGGCGACCGGCCACACUGGGACUGAGACACGGCCCAGACUCCUACGGGAGGCAGCAGUGGGGAAUCUUGCGCAAUGGGCGAAAGCCUGACGCAGCGACGCCGCCGUGAGGGAUGACGGCCUCGGUUGUAACUAC